UUAUAUUCGUGGUUCAUUUUGGAAACGCCCAUGUUGUCGCAUCCGUUCUCCGUUCGCGGGGGCGUCGGGGCGAAUGAUACAUACGCGGGUUUUGAAAAGCACAGUCGCGGUAGAAUUUCACACAUACCCCGACGCUAAAUAUAGCUGCUACGGACAAAAACUGGCUUUCUACUUUAAAUUACAUUCCGUGACAAAAAUUAGGAUUUACAGGAACUCCUUCGUCAGCCGGACGCGAAUGAGACGCGGGGUUUUAGCCGCGCGGUCGUUGUAGUAUUUCACACAUAUACCGCCUUAACUGGGUUACAUGCUUCAGUGAGAAAGUUGAGGAACAAAGUCGUCCGCGGGACACGAAUGAGACGUGCAAUGGGCUUCAUCUGCAUCGCGGUUUUGGUAGAAUUUCACACAUAUUCCUCAAAUAGCAGCUAUGAACCAAAAACUCUGGGAUUAAAUAUUUCAGUGACUUUUAGGAUUUACGCGGAUUUCGUGUUGAUCAGCACACUUGAUGUUUUUGGUGUUUGUGGUAUGGUUUAAAUUUGCACCCAUCUGUUAACACAUGCGAUUGAACGAAAACGCGUUCCUAAACAGGUACAUAAUCACACACAAUCCGCUUUAACCCGGUAACGUUAGCUUUAAAUUACUUCAGGAUAAUUACGUUUGAUUAAUAAUGUUUUUUCCUUAUUUCAUAAUCCUUUUAUAUAUACACAUGUGUACAGUACAGUGCUUAAUUUGUAAAUAUCUUUACAGUGGGGUGAGCAAUUGGACAGGCAGGUGGAGAGGAGACACUAGAUGCAUUCAUCCCAGCUUCCUGUCUGACUUUGCCACUCUGUUCACAGCAUAUCAUCUUCAUUCAAAGCGCUCUGUAUCUGGAGAGAGGAACAAAGAAGUCAGGAGGAAAAGUAAACAUCAGGCCAAAUGGUACAGAAGAAACAGGUUGCAGUGAACCUACAUGUUGCUACACUUCUUUGCAAAGUGAUGGAUUUGCAGUGGAGUUUAUACAAUUUGUCGGAUACUCUUCACAGCAUCGGUUAUCAAUCGCUGGCGGUCUCCCUCGGCGGCACUACCGUCGCCUUUCACAACCUGUGAUGGAACACAGUCUGGAGCCGAAUUGUUCUCCUUGACCAGAAGUUUAUUGGAAUCGCUUGGGAUCAUUUGGACAUACUGGACUGUUCCUGCAGUGGUGACAAUUAAUCUGUUUUUUAUGCAACAAUUAUACAACUUCAUUUCAUUUUGUCAUCCACGAAAUUUUUUUGUGAGUCCUAUUGGAUUUGAUUCCUAUCAACAGUGAAGGUAAAGACCCAUUGUUCCACACUCUUUUAUAGCAUUAUCAAGCUAUGCCAUUGUUGUUGUCAUCGUUGUUUAGCAACCUCUAGCUAAAUAUAUUUAAUAUUGUGCCUUUAAAGUUAUGCAGUUUUUUAGCUAUUCCUCUUUCUGUGUGAAGGGCCACACAGUGUACAUGUUUCAAUUACUUUUAAAAUAUUUAAUUUCAUGUCCAUUAAAAAAACAUUCAAAAUAUAUGUUUUGACA
This is a non-coding RNA of Paramisgurnus dabryanus, 1524 nucleotides long. The record is from RefSeq and is a predicted model, not a curated record. Lineage: Eukaryota; Metazoa; Chordata; Actinopteri; Cypriniformes; Cobitidae.